ACAAAGGCUCUUUUCAGAGCCACUUUAAUAAUCAUAAAAAGAUGA
Macaca mulatta (Rhesus monkey) is the source of this 45-nucleotide non-coding RNA. The record is from Rfam. Lineage: Eukaryota; Metazoa; Chordata; Mammalia; Primates; Cercopithecidae.